CAGCAGCUGGCUUACUCGAGUAGAAGGAGCUGAGAGUCUGGGGCUUGUGGGUCUGACUUUCCCGGUCCAACAACUUAUCCAGUAUCUAAAGGAUGGAGAAGCACAGGAAAGGGAGAACACACGAGGCAUGUCAUUGGGAAGUUACCAAAUAAGUGAAUCCUUGGAAGCAAGGGAGCGGAGCGACCGAGCCGGGGGGAGGGUUUGUCCUUUUCCCAUGCAAGAAACUUUUGAAAUUUAAAGGCUGAAAUGGUGCAUUCUGGUGAACUCUGACACCUAGAAUUCUUUAAACAUGAAGGCUUAAAAAAAAUGUCUGUAUGGGACCUUCUAGGCAUCCCCCCAAAAACAGCACAAAGUCAUGUUAAUGUGAUGACACCAAAUAUUUAUACUGGAUUCAAAUUUGAACGAGCCACAUGAAGUCAUCACUAUGUGUGCUUUCCGAUCGACCAUGGCAGUGAGCCUCUUCUGUUGAGGAACUUGUGGGGCAAUGCCACUGGGUUGUUGCAAGUACACACUACUGAUCCCGUAUGUUUGGUCCUAUUGUUGCGUCUAUUGUGAAAAAAAUUGCUGGGCAUUUGGUGGUUAGAGCGCUUUUUGUACAAUUUCCUGGCAUGAUUUUUCGUUUUCAUGUGGUCUAUCAGCGCUUGACAUCCUCUGUCGCUGUAUUUUGUGUCAUCGUCGCACACCAUGCACCUCGCUUUCCCAGCUACAUCUAACUUUCCAUAAUGCUCUCCAAUCGUUGUUUCCAACUCGUGCUUUUGCCAGCGCACUGUUGACAACUACGUGCGAUCCAACCCUAUACCCCUUACACCCCAUAUUUUUUUUCUCAUUGAAUUUGGGCGAUUCACGUUGGGUCUCAAAAUUGAUACCUCGAUACGCGAAUUUUCGCGUAUCUGCGACCAAAUAACAUGCCUGUUUUUGUCGUCUGUCCACUGAACACAUGCAUGUCCUUUUAGCUUUGUUUUGGUCGUCACCUGCUCCUGAAGAAAACAUCGAUCUCUUCAGCUGCUAAAUUGUCCACUGUGCGUUUAUAGUUUUUAUAUUCCCUUUAUCACCAGUGGAAGUCAUUUACUAUAUUUGUGUUCUGUAAAAGGCUCUUUGUGUUACGUCUAUGUUAAGUUUAAUAAAAUAAUGAGGUGAAGCAUACUUGCAAGGUUAGUCUAGAAAGCUACAAAUUACGUGGGUGUUUUAAUUAGCUUUCCUGUGUAGUCAGAACCUGCUACUUCUCUGUUCAUAGGUCAGUGAAGUCACCAUCAUGUGGAGCUCACACAGAUGUAAAUAACAAGCCCCAGCCACUUUUGUGACAAUUCCAGUGAAGCUGUGAGUGUAGCUGUGACUGCAGUGCUGGCUUUAAUGGUCAAUUUAACUUCACUAUGAGUAUGUUGCAGUUGUAUUAAUGAAAAUUUUGACAGUAAACAAGUCAGAGUUAUUUCCGUUUUUACAGUUUGAAGCAUUAAAGUGCCUUAGUUGCUGUAGUACUGUGGCUCAUACCAAACCACGAAUUUUAUGUACAGUUACACACUUCCUUCUUUCCAGUGUGUCCAUAAUGACAAUAAACAUAUCUAAUUUUGGA
Molecule: long non-coding RNA, 1570 nt
Organism: Acanthochromis polyacanthus (spiny chromis)
Lineage: Eukaryota; Metazoa; Chordata; Actinopteri; Pomacentridae
Exons: 2
Source: RefSeq, a predicted model, not a curated record